UGGGGGAUAUUGCACAAUGGAGGAAACUCUGAUGCAGCAACGCCGCGUGAAGGAUGAAGGCUUUCGGGUUGUAAACUUCUGUCUUCUGGGAAGAAUAAAUGACGGUACCAGAGGAGGAAGCCACGGCUAACUACGUGCCAGCAGCCGCGGUAAUACGUAGGUGGCAAGCGUUGUCCGGAUUUACUGGGUGUAAAGGGCGUGUAGGCGGGUUAUUAAGUCAGAUGUGAAAUACCGAGGCUCAACCUCGGGGCUGCAUUUGAAACUGAUAAUCUUGAGUGCUGGAGAGGGAAGCGGAAUUCCUAGUGUAGCGGUGAAAUGCGUAGAUAUUAGGAGGAACACCAGUGGCGAAGGCGGCUUUCUGGACAGUAACUGACGCUGAGGCGCGAAAGCGUGGGGAGCAAACAGG
Molecule: ribosomal RNA, 406 nt
Filed under: uncultured bacterium
Lineage: Bacteria
Description: bacterial SSU rRNA
Rfam family: Bacterial small subunit ribosomal RNA
Source: RNAcentral